CUGGCACCUUGACUUUAGCCCACUGAAAUUUAUUUCGAACUUCCAGCCUCCAAAAUUCUAAAAGAAUAAAUCUGUGUUUUUUAAAGCCACUAAAUUUGUGGCAAUUUCUUACAGCAGCAAUAGGAAAGAAAUAUAUUUCCCUUCCUAGACUUUUCUUCAAACUUAAUAGCUGAACCUUAAACUCAUUUAUUCUAGGAGGGCUCCAGUCUUCAAAGAACCAGAGCAUGGGUACCAAAGCCUCCCAGAGCUAGUUCUGGUCCCAGCUCAGCCACUUGUCUGUUUGGGUGACUAUAGAACUCC
This 300-nucleotide long non-coding RNA is filed under the name Homo sapiens (human). RNAcentral describes it as "non-protein coding lnc-ANKRD55-7:2". The record is from RNAcentral. Lineage: Eukaryota; Metazoa; Chordata; Mammalia; Primates; Hominidae.